GCCCAGACUCCUACGGGAGGCAGCAGUGGGGAAUAUUGCACAAUGGGGGAAACCCUGAUGCAGCGACGCCGCGUGAGCGAUGAAGUAUUUCGGUAUGUAAAGCUCUAUCAGCAGGGAAGAAAAUGACGGUACCUGACUAAGAAGCCCCGGCUAACUACGUGCCAGCAGCCGCGGUAAUACGUAGGGGGCAAGCGUUAUCCGGAUUUACUGGGUGUAAAGGGAGCGUAGACGGCAAUGCAAGCCAGAUGUGAAAGCCCGGGGCUCAACCCCGGGACUGCAUUUGGAACUGUGUAGCUGGAGUGUCGGAGAGGCAGGCGGAAUUCCUAGUGUAGCGGUGAAAUGCGUAGAUAUUAGGAGGAACACCAGUGGCGAAGGCGGCCUGCUGGACGAUGACUGACGUUGAGGCUCGAAAGCGUGGGGAGCAAACAGGAUUAGAUACCCCCGUA
Molecule: ribosomal RNA, 446 nt
Filed under: uncultured bacterium
Lineage: Bacteria
Description: bacterial SSU rRNA
Rfam family: Bacterial small subunit ribosomal RNA
Source: RNAcentral